Mauremys reevesii (Reeves's turtle) is the source of this 1323-nucleotide long non-coding RNA. RefSeq lists it as uncharacterized. NCBI's taxonomy places the organism in Eukaryota, Metazoa, Chordata, Testudines, Geoemydidae. The transcript has 5 exons. The record is from RefSeq and is a predicted model, not a curated record.
UAAAAUAAACAUUUCAGCAGCUAGCAGAAUAUUGAUGGAGAAACUGCAACUUGAGCAAGCCUAACUGCAAAAGCGGCAAGGGAUGCACCACAGAAUGAGUCCCAGAAAGCAACUUGCAGAGGCUGGUGUGGCAAGAUAUGUUGCAUAGAGACUAGAAAACAAAAUCCAGUUCCAGUUGCAAGAACUCAAAAGUUGAUGUCUCUUCUCUUAUUGAAUGGUGAGGGAGGAUGACCUUUUGCCUGGACAUUUCAAAUCUCUGAAAGAAAUGUGAGUCACUAACCGAUUGGUUCAUGCUACCACUUCCAAGAAGAGAAGCAAAGUUGGACCACAAAGCAGAAAUAGGAUAAAAUGACCUGUCUCCUUCAGUAUAUUUCUUUCUGAAAUCCAAAGACACUUGGACGGUAGAAGACUAAGGUCCUGGGCUGUCCACCUCUGAGUUCUCCUGGUGACAUUAAGGACCUAUCUUGGAUAGGCACCUUUAAGUGUCUUUCUACUUUCCUACAAUUCAGGUUGCCCAGGAAAUGACUACAAUGCACCAGCAACUGACUACAGUCAUGUCCGUCCUUUGCUCCACCUGUUUGUUCAAAGCAGGAGCUGAUACUGCAAUAACUGAGCUAAAAGCUGACAGCUGAGUACAGAUCUAGUGAUAAGCAACACACAGACUUUCUCUUGGGUGAUAACCCACAUCAAUCAAUUGACCACUUCCUGAAGCUGACUACCCAACUGACAGUGGACAGGAGAACAAGAACACAGACAGAAACCAGGACCUCAGGGAAGGAUCAGGAACACAACAGAAAUCGGAGUUCAGGAAUCUGUGACAGAUAUUUGUUCAGCCAGCUGGACUUCAGCACAGGAAUAUCUAUUACCAGAAAGAAAGUAUUUGUCAUUCUGCUCACCCAUAUGUCAAGCCUUGCAAACAAAUCUUUCUGAAUGAUCUGUCAUUAUCCUCAAAGCAAGGUGAAUCUUCAGGACAGCAAAGUAUAGAGAUGCAAAUUUGAAUCCAAUCUCAGCCCUAAUGCUCGACCACAUGAUGGUAGGGGACUGGGAGUAUGGUUAAAGUAGGACACCGAGUCUGAGGUAAGAGAGCCAUACCCUACAGGCUCCUUGAUGGUUGACUGUAAUGAUAGUUUCAAAAGAAGCAGUCUACUCUGGAAGUCUCAGUACAGUGAUACAGCUGACAUGUGGGAAGAAUGGCCACAAAGAAUGAUGGACUGAGUGAAAAUUUGUGCUUUAAGUCAUACUAAACUGCUACCCAAGUCUCUUUCCCAGGGAUCCGAGUGCCUUGGGCAAUAUUUCCUUAUCACAUUCUCCCAGAAGGGAAUA